UUAAGUUACUAGUGUUCCCGAUAGGAUUAGUUAUCCAAAAGAUCCUUGUAACCGAAAUUAAUUUAGGGGGAAUUUAUAUG
Pediococcus stilesii is the source of this 80-nucleotide regulatory RNA element. It matches the Rfam family "SAM-III riboswitch aptamer (SMK box)". The record is from Rfam. NCBI's taxonomy places the organism in Bacteria, Bacillati, Bacillota, Bacilli, Lactobacillales, Lactobacillaceae.